This 7866-nucleotide long non-coding RNA is filed under the name Marmota monax (woodchuck). The record is from RNAcentral. Lineage: Eukaryota; Metazoa; Chordata; Mammalia; Rodentia; Sciuridae.
GGGUGGCCACCCUGGGCAUGUGGGUAGCCAGGGCACCACCCAGCUUUGACCUGCUGGCCCUCUCCCAGAGGGGAAGGCCCACCGCGAGAAGCUGGAGCUGGUGGCCUCCUUCUCCUUCUUUGGCAACGUCAUGUCCAUGGCCAGCGUGCAGCUGGCAGGAGCCAAGCGUGACGCCCUACUGCUCAGCUUCAAGGAUGCUAAGGUGAGGGGUAGAGGGUGGUAGAGGGUGGUAGGCCCGGGGUGGGGGAUGGAGGGGGCAGGGCUACACAGGGGCCUGCUGGUACCCCCCAGGGUGCAUGGGGGCAGGCCAUAGUUCUGACCUUCUGCCCCCAGCUGUCGGUGGUGGAGUAUGACCCCGGCACCCACGAUCUGAAGACCCUGUCCUUGCACUACUUUGAGGAGCCUGAGCUGCGGGUAGGCCACAUCGAGGCACCCCGGCCAGCCCAGCUACUCCCUCCCUCCUUCUACCCCCAGUGCUGCCCGUGAGGGCUCCUGGCUAAUGUCCCUCUGCCCCCAGGACGGCUUUGUGCAGAACGUGCACACACCUCGAGUGCGGGUGGACCCCGAUGGGCGCUGUGCAGCCAUGCUCAUCUACGGCACCCGGCUGGUGGUGCUGCCCUUCCGCAGGGAGAGCCUGGCCGAGGAGCAUGAGGGGCUCGUGGGUGAGGGGUGAGCACUGGGGUCACGGCUGGGUCUGAGAGGCGUGGAGCUUGGUUCCCCUCUGUGUGGCCCACCCUGACGUCCCUGUGCCCCCAGGCAGAGGUCCAGCUUCCUGCCUAGCUAUAUCAUCGAUGUGCGGGCCCUGGACGAGAAGCUGCUCAACAUCAUUGACCUGCAGUUCCUGCAUGGCUAUUACGAGCCCACCCUGCUCAUCCUGUUCGAGCCCAACCAGACUUGGCCCGGGUGAGGCCCAGGGAUGCCCUCUUUGCUGUGGUCCCAGCUGCCUGGGCAGAGGGGACAGGGACGUGUAGCUCCCGCAGAGGGUGGAAGUGGGACCCCAGCCUUGGGGGGUGCUGCGAGUCCAGCUGACCCACCUACUACUCCAGGCGGGUGGCAGUGCGACAGGACACCUGUUCCAUUGUGGCCAUCUCACUGAACAUCACGCAGAAGGUCCACCCUGUCAUCUGGUCCCUCACCAGCCUGCCUUUUGACUGCACCCAGGCCCUGGCUGUGCCCAAGCCCAUAGGUGAGGAGGGCCCAGCAGUGCCCAGUGGUCCUGGGGGGGAGCAGUGAGCCUGCCUACCAGCCCGUGUCUGUCCCCAGGUGGGGUCGUGGUCUUCGCUGUCAACUCGCUGCUGUACCUGAACCAAAGUGUCCCCCCAUAUGGCGUGGCUCUCAACAGCCUCACUAUGGGCACCACUGCCUUCCCACUGCGUAAGUGUAGCUGACUAUUAGUGGGUGGGGCUGUGGGUGGGGCAGGGCCUCCAGCCAGCUUGACACCUUCCUCACAGGCACUCAGGAGGGCGUACGGAUCACCCUGGACUGCGCCCAGGCCGCCUUCAUUUCCUAUGACAAGAUGGUCAUUUCCCUCAAGGGUGGCGAGAUGUGAGCCCCUGGCCCUGUCUGCCCUGAGACCCCCACAUCCCCUCCCCUGCUCAUUCAGCACCCCCCACCCCUGCCCUCCAACAUCCUUCAUCCCCAGCCCUACUCAGCAGCCCGCCCCGCCCACAGCUAUGUGCUGACACUCGUCACAGACGGCAUGCGCAGCGUCCGUGCCUUCCACUUUGACAAGGCAGCCGCCAGUGUCCUCACCACCAGUGUGAGUAGGGGCAGGGGUGGAGGUCUUGCACUGGGUCCAGGUCUGGCCUCCUCUCAUCCACACGCCCGCCCUCAGAUGGUCACCAUGGAGCCUGGGUACCUGUUCCUGGGCUCGCGCCUGGGCAAUUCCCUCCUCCUCAAGUACACAGAGAAGCUGCAGGAGCCCCCAGCCAGUGCUGUCCGCGAGGCUGCUGACAAGGUGGGUGCUCAUGGUGGUGCCCAGGUGCUUGGCCACCUCCCCUUGGUGUAAAGCAGCCUGGAAAUGCUGUUCACCUCUGUCUCCCGCCUCACAGGAAGAGCCUCCCUCCAAGAAGAAGCGGGUGGACCCCACAGUGGGCUGGUCAGGUGAGAGCUGGACCGGUUGGGUGGGGUGGGUCUGGGAGCCAGGGCAAGGCUCAAGUGGGCUGUGUGCGCUACAGGGGGCAAGUCCGUGCCACAGGACGAGGUGGACGAGAUUGAAGUGUACGGCAGUGAGGCCCAGUCAGGCACACAGCUGGCCACCUACUCCUUUGAGGUGAGACUGGGGACAGCCGUGGAUGCCCGCCCCCUCCCACCACCUGACUGCCACUGUGUCUUCAGGUGUGUGACAGCAUGCUCAACAUCGGACCCUGCGCCAAUGCUGCUGUGGGCGAGCCCGCCUUCCUCUCCGAAGAGGUGCCUGGGGCCUGGGCUUGGGUUGGGGGCAGGAGCGGGGUUGGGGCAGCAUCUUUACCCCGACCUGUGCAGUUUCAGAACAGCCCUGAGCCAGACCUGGAGAUUGUGGUUUGCUCCGGCUAUGGGAAGAACGGGGCCCUAUCAGUGCUGCAGGUGUGUAGGGCAGGGGGGGUGGGCACCUGCGGGCAGCACCUGAGUAGGCUGACCCCAUCCCACCCUAUCUUCAUUCCAGAAGAGUAUCCGGCCCCAGGUAGUGACAACCUUUGAACUUCCUGGCUGCUAUGACAUGUGGACAGUCAUUGCCCCUGUGCGCAAGGAGGAGGUAGGUGGGACCCUAGGUGAUAGUGACUGUGGUGGCCUGAGGGCACCUGGAUCCAGUGGUCAUAGCCAUCACAGCUCUCUGUCCUCCCUGUCCUUGGCCCGUGCAGGAGGAGGCACCUAAGGCAGAGGGCCCAGAGCAGGAGCCGAGCACCCCUGAAGCAGAAGAUGAUGGCCGGAGACAUGGCUUCCUCAUUCUGAGCCGGGAAGACUCAACAAUGGUGAAGGGCGGGGUCUGGAUGUGGGCGUCUGGGGUUCCCCGGGGAAGGGCACAACUCACUACGUUACCUACAGAUCCUUCAGACUGGCCAGGAGAUCAUGGAACUGGACACCAGUGGCUUUGCCACACAGGGCCCCACGGUUUUUGCUGGAAACAUUGGGGACAAUCGCUACAUUGUCCAAGUGUCACCACUGGGCAUCCGCUUGCUAGAAGGAGGUAGGUGGGCAAGUGUAGGGAAGCGCGUCCUGGGGAGUAUGCUGCAUUGGCCACCCUGUGCUGACCACCCUGUGCCCACAGUGAAUCAGCUGCACUUCAUCCCUGUGGACCUGGGUGCCCCCAUCGUGCAGUGCGCUGUGGCCGACCCCUAUGUGGUCAUCAUGAGCGCCGAGGGCCGUGUUACCAUGUUCCUGCUCAAGAGUGAUUCGUAUGGUGGCCGCCACCACCGCCUUGCACUGCACAAGCCUCCACUGCACCAUGUAGGCCUCACCCUCUGUGUCUGCCAUCCCUGCCUAUGAUCCCCUAUCCCCACUGUCCCCGACCUACACUGGGCUUUGUCUCUCCCUGCAGCAGUCCAAGGUGAUCACACUCUGCCUGUAUCGUGAUGUCAGCGGCAUGUUCACCACCGAGAGCCGCCUGAGUGGGGCCCGUGAUGAGAUGGGGGGCCGCAGUGGUUCAGAGGCCGAAGGACUGGGCUCAGAGACCAGGUGUGCAGGGGGCCAGGGUGCAGGAGACCUGGGUCUCUGUGGCAGAUUGAGACAUGUCUGUGUCUUCAGCCCUACAGUGGAUGACGAGGAGGAGAUGCUCUAUGGGGACUCAGGCUCCCUCUUCAGCCCCAGCAAAGAGGAGGCCCGGAGGAGCAGCCAGCCCCCUGCUGACCGAGACCCUGCACCCUUUCGGGCAGAGCCCACCCACUGGUGCCUGCUGGUGCGAGAGAACGGCACCAUGGAGGUAGGUGCACACAUGUGGCUCAGCAGCCCUGGCAGCAUGGCAGGCCCUAUCGUCACUGACUGCUGUCCCCCACCAGAUCUACCAGCUUCCAGACUGGCGGCUGGUGUUCCUGGUGAAGAACUUCCCUGUGGGGCAGCGGGUCCUGGUGGACAGUUCCUUUGGACAGCCUACCACGCAGGGUGAGGCCCGCAAGGAAGAGGCCACGCGCCAGGGGGAGCUGCCCCUGGUCAAGGAGGUGCUGCUGGUUGCUCUGGGGAGUCGCCAGAGCAGGCCCUACCUGCUGGUGAGCCCUUUGGUGCCUGCCCAGAGGCUGGGACCUGCCCUCACAGCCCAGCCCAUUCCUCCACUCUGUCCUCGGGGCCCAGCCCCACCUCGUGGCCCACCCUGUCUCACUUCCAGGUGCAUGUGGACCAGGAGCUGCUUAUCUAUGAGGCUUUUCCCCAUGACUCUCAGCUUGGCCAGGGCAAUCUCAAAGUUCGCUUCAAGAAGGUGCAGCUGCUAGACCCUUUUGGGGUGGGUUGGGAGGGGUCCAGGCUACAGGGUCUGAAGGGCCUGGCGUUCAUCAACACCUUCACCAGGUCCCCCACAACAUCAAUUUCCGUGAAAAGAAGGCAAAACCCUCCAAGAAGAAGGCAGAAGGUGGCAGUGUGGAGGAGGGUUCUGGGGCCCGGGGACGUGUGGCACGUUUCCGCUACUUCGAGGACAUUUAUGGCUAUUCUGGGGUAGGCAGGCAGCUUUGUUUGGGCUUGGGGGUAGGGGAACAGGACCUUGCCCACAUGUUCUCACAGUGUCUGUCUCCAGGUGUUCAUCUGUGGCCCCUCACCCCACUGGCUCCUAGUGACUGGCCGGGGGGCUCUGCGGCUGCACCCCAUGGGCAUCGAUGGCCCCAUCGACUCCUUCGCCCCAUUCCACAAUGUCAAUUGUCCCCGAGGCUUUCUGUAUUUCAACAGACAGGUAGGAAGGUUAACUCUGGCCGCACCACAAGCACUGGUACUGCCCUGGCAAAGCUAGGCGCUAGGGACAGGAGGGCUCCUCAGCUGCAGCACAUCCCAGAGGACCAGGGAUGACUAUCUAGAGGAGGGUAGGGCCCAGGAGGUGGGAUCUGGGGCUUGAGGCUGGAGCAGUUGGCAGUGGAGGCCUGGCUGAUGGGGCAUACCCUGAAAGCCCUUGCCUCAUCUGUGACACCCACAUGGCAGCAAUGACCACCUGAGUCACUGACAGACUCUGGUGUUGAGUGCUUCCAAGGGGCUAAUGCACUCAGGACUGGACAGAAGCUGAGGCUGGGGCUGGCAGGGUCUCCCUCUGCCUGUGUUCUUCAGUCCCUGGCAUGGCCAGUCUCAGUCAUGUGGCUUUUAGUCUCUAGUGUCCUCUGGGCUUGGACUCCCAUGCCCUGUGCUGUAUUCCCCAGCCAGAAGGAUGGACAGGAGCCUACUGAUAGAAGGCAUGGGGACUGACGACCAAGGCUACAGCUCUUCCAGACCUUCCCCAGACUCGGUGACCCUAGCCAGGCAGUAGCGAGGCCUGCAGCCCUAGGCCUUGCUGACUAUUUCCACCCACCCCAGGGUGAGCUGCGGAUCAGUGUCCUGCCUGCCUACUUGUCCUACGAUGCCCCAUGGCCCGUCAGGAAGAUCCCACUGCGCUGCACGGCUCACUAUGUGGCUUACCAUGUGGAGUCCAAGGUCUGUCCCCUCCCCCAGCACUCCCUCCCCCAGGCACCCCAGGCGUGUGACACCAUUCAACUCCUAGGUGUACGCCGUGGCCACCAGCACCAAUACACCCUGCACCCGCAUCCCGCGCAUGACUGGUGAGGAAAAGGAGUUUGAGGCCAUUGAGAGAGGUAUGUGCCACCAGGGGUGGGGUGGACCAUGCCCAGGGCUGGCUACGACCACUGCCUCCUUGUCCCUGCAGAUGACAGGUACAUCCACCCCCAACAGGAGGCCUUCUCCAUCCAGCUCAUCUCCCCAGUCAGCUGGGAGGCCAUUCCCAAUGCCAGGUGAUGUUGGGCCCAGUGGGGGCUUCCGGGUGCCAGCAGGGCAGGACUAGGGUGUCCUGAUACAGCCUGUCCUUGUGCAGAAUUGAGCUGGAGGAAUGGGAACACGUCACAUGCAUGAAGACAGUGUCGCUGCGCAGUGAGGAGACUGUGUCGGGCCUCAAGGGCUAUGUGGCUGCUGGGACCUGCCUCAUGCAGGGAGAGGAGGUCACGUGCCGCGGGCGGGUAAGCAGCUGCCAGGUGGGGACAGGCGGCCCUUGGCAGCCUGUCUGCCAUCCCCACAUGUUCCCUUGCCCUGCCAGAUCCUCAUCAUGGACGUGAUUGAGGUGGUGCCCGAACCUGGCCAGCCCCUAACCAAGAACAAGUUCAAGGUCCUAUACGAAAAGGAACAGAAGGGGCCUGUGACCGCCCUGUGCCACUGCAAUGGUCACCUGGUGUCAGCCAUUGGCCAGAAGGUACACAGCUACUCCUCCCUGCUGUGUUUCUGCCUGCUCACCCUGCCCACUCCACUGACCCUUCUGCCCCCUAGAUCUUCCUGUGGAGCCUGCGGGCCAGUGAGCUGACGGGCAUGGCCUUCAUCGACACCCAGCUGUACAUCCACCAGAUGAUCAGCGUCAAGAACUUCAUCUUAGCUGCAGAUGUCAUGAAGAGCAUCUCACUGCUGCGCUACCAAGAAGAGAGCAAGACGCUGAGCCUGGUGUCCCGGGUACUUCAUGUGGUCUUGGGGUACAGGUGAGAGUCAUACUCGGGCUCCUCCUGACACCUUCUGCUCCCUGACAACAGGAUGCCAAGCCUCUGGAGGUGUACAGUGUGGACUUCAUGGUGGACAAUGCCCAGCUGGGCUUUUUGGGUGAGUAGGGUCUUGGGGGAGUGUCACCCUGGGGGUGGCUGGAGCUGACUCUGGGUCUUUGCUCCCUAGUGUCUGACCGAGACCGCAACCUCAUGGUGUACAUGUACCUGCCAGAAGGUCAGUGGCUCCCUCCCUCACUUGUUUUUUUCAAUGUUUUUUAGUAGUUGAUGGACCUCUAUUUAUUUGUAUGUGGUGCUGAGAGUCGAACCCAGUGCAUCACACAUGCUAGACAAGCUAUCACUGAGCCACAACCCCAGCCCUCCCUCCCUCACUUCUACUCCGGCUGGGUAUUGGGCACUGGGUGGGCAGUGAUCUGAGUUCUUCUGUCCUAGCCAAGGAGAGCUUUGGGGGCAUGCGCCUGCUGCGCAGGGCAGACUUCCACGUGGGUGCCCACGUGAACACGUUCUGGAGAACGCCAUGCAGGGGGGCCACUGAGGGGCCCAGCAAGAAGUCGGUGGUGUGGGAGAACAAGCACAUCACGUGGUUUGGUGAGUGGGGUGGGGUAACUGAGCUCACUGCCCCCUCGAGCCACACUGGAUGACUAGGGGGUUGACCUGGCUCACGCUUCCCCCCAUCCCCAGCCACACUGGAUGGCGGCAUCGGGCUCCUGCUGCCCAUGCAGGAGAAGACCUACCGGAGGCUGCUGAUGCUGCAGAACGCACUGACCACCAUGUUGCCCCACCAUGCUGGUCUCAACCCCCGUGCCUUCCGGUGAGCACCCACCAUCCUCAGGGCUCUGCCUACCCUCCCAGGUUGCCCUGACCCCCCACACCCCCUCCCCAGGAUGUUGCAUGUGGACCGGCGCAUCCUACAGAACGCAGUGCGCAACGUGCUUGACGGAGAGCUGCUCAACCGCUACCUGUACCUCAGCACUAUGGAGCGUGGGGAGCUGGCCAAGAAGAUUGGCACGACCCCAGACAUUGUGAGUUGGCCUGCUUUCCCCCGCCCAUCCUGUCCCUGCCCUGCUGAGCCCUGCCCUGACGGCUUUCACCCUACAGAUCCUUGAUGACCUGCUGGAGACUGACCGUGUCACCGCCCACUUCUAAGCAUGUGGAUGCCACCCUGCCCCCGCACACUGCCUCCCCCCACCUUUUGUACAAAACAAGGAAAACAAAUUGUUUGAGACGA